This 392-nucleotide ribosomal RNA is filed under the name uncultured bacterium. RNAcentral's name for it is "partial 16S ribosomal RNA". It matches the Rfam family "Bacterial small subunit ribosomal RNA", at positions 523 to 918 of the family's 1533-position model. The record is from RNAcentral.
AUACGGAGGAUCCGAGCGUUAUCCGGAUUUAUUGGGUUUAAAGGGUGCGCAGGCGGCCAUUUAAGUCAGCGGUUAAAUCGUGGGGCUCAACCCCAUUCUGCCGUUGAUACUGGGUGGCUUGAUUGCGGUCGAGGUUGGCGGAAUUCGUUGUGUAGCGGUGAAAUGCAUAGAUAUGACGAAGAACACCGAUUGCGUAGGCAGCUGACCAGACCGCAAAUGACGCUCAUGCACGAAAGUGCGGUGAUCGAACAGGAUUAGAUACCCUGGUAGUACGCACAGUAAACGAUGAAUACUUGUUUUCGGCGAUAUAAUGUCGGAGGCAAAGCGAAAGCGAUAAGUAUUCCACCUGGGGAGUACGCCGGCAACGGUGAAACUCAAAUGAAUUGACGGGG